UUGCUCUGCUAACCUGGGGCUGACCUGGAUGCAUGGAUUUUGGUCAGUAGGGCUCCAGCUCCCUGCACCAGCCAACCAGCUUUGAUGGAAGCAGUGGAGGAGAUGUUGUUUGCCUGCAGUGCUGUGAUGCACUGUGGUGUGGAGCCUGUUCUGCCCAUAUGGAUUUUGAGCUGCAGGAUUUCUUCCAGGAAAACCAUAUUAGGAUUUAGGAUUUAUAAUUUCCUGGGAGUAGUUUAUAUACCAGAAAACUCGUCCUACAACAUGGGAAGGAACAACCUUUUUUGUACCCUAUAAAAGAUAUGGAUUAUUUAUUUGUUUAUUUAUUUUGUGAACUUCUAAUGGUUUGGAGUUUUCAGUGGUCUUGCUUGAUGCAAUAGCUGCAUUUGUGUGGAUGUGACAUGUUUUUCAUUGGUCUCUAAGAUGAACCUGGAAAAGAAGUGGAGCUGCCCCUUGUCAGGUCCAAGGCACAGAAACCACCAGCAUGGUUUGGAGCAGCCAGCGCAAUACAGUGACACACGGGUGAUCUGUUAGAUGAGCCAUGGAUGCCAUGAGCCUGUGGGUGUUGCUAUUGUUGGAGGCCAUCCCCAUAUGUCCUGAGGCUGCAGCUGUCUGUGUGCCAUUGCCUUCUCCCUUUCACUGCUUCCUGGUUCUCACAGCCAGUUGUGUGUGGUUGUCAGAGGUAUUCUAUGGGCAGAAGGAAGUUGGCUUUUUGUCUAUGUCCUGCAUGGGCAUCCAUGACUGGCUGACGUCUGGCGUAGUCCCCUGGGAUACCCAUGUGUCACCUGAAAGCUCCCUCCUUGUGCCUGCAGUGCAUCUGGAGCAGACACAGCUUUGCAUCGAGGUCAGGGGACCUCGCUGUGGCCAUUCUGGGGGAGCGUUCUCUGCGUGUUUCCUGGGCUGACAGCUCCACUGAAAAGCUUUUUGCUUAAGAUCUAAGAAUGCAGUGUCUGUUACAAACAAUUGCCCUUGUCCUCUUCAGUCCCUAUCACUUCCCAGUCUGACGUGGUCAAGUUACUGAAUCAGUGCUUUUAGAGGCUGCAUCAUUCAUUUUAUUUGACUGUGCGCGGUCCUGGAGAUGCAAGCUGCCAAAUGUCUGUCAAUAAUCAACCAGAG
Gallus gallus (chicken) is the source of this 1113-nucleotide long non-coding RNA. Lineage: Eukaryota; Metazoa; Chordata; Aves; Galliformes; Phasianidae. The record is from Ensembl.